Dioscorea cayenensis subsp. rotundata (Guinea yam) is the source of this 2555-nucleotide long non-coding RNA. RefSeq lists it as uncharacterized. The record is from RefSeq and is a predicted model, not a curated record. Lineage: Eukaryota; Viridiplantae; Streptophyta; Magnoliopsida; Dioscoreales; Dioscoreaceae. The transcript is spliced from 6 exons.
CGUGGUUUAAAUCUCUCUCGCGCUCGCUUCACCCCUUCUCUCCAAGAGGCCAUCUCUCUAGGGUUUUUGCCGGAGUCGGUGAUCGGAAAGCUUCUGGGGGACCUGCUCGAAUUGUGGAGUUAAAAGUUUGGUUGCAUUCCUUGAGAAAUCCUUGAUCCGUCUCUCUUUAUUUGGUUGAGAAAUUUUCUCUACACAUCGUGUGAAGAAUUCAUUCGAGGAUUUGCAUCUCUGUGUCUUCUCGCAAGUGAAUGGAAAUAGAUCGAGUAGAGAGAGGUUCCUGCCUGCGAUCUUUGACCCAUCAGGCUCUGGAAAAGGCUUGAACUGAUUAUUUCAUAGGUUACAUUUUGAUGUCCACAACUGUUCAUUCAUAACCUUCAAGUACUCAAAUGCAUUGUGUGCCCGCCUUUGUCACCAUCUUCCUUUUGCAUUUGUCAAGAAAGGCUUGGUUGAAGGACCAUGAUGUGAGAUACAGGACCAUUAUUUUAUUUAGUCUGUAUGAAAGGCCUGAUUUUUGUGGACAGCUACUCUCAACUGGCAUACAACUCAUCUGGUUGGAAGGUGAUGAAAAGUUUAAGGACAAUGACAAGAAGAGGAAUUCAUCGAGUUUCUACAUGUGGAGGAUCUAGUAGAGAAAGGUGGAACACAAUUUACAAAUGCUCCAUGUCUUUGAAUUAAUUAUUAUACUUUAUCAUUUCAUUAUUCUUCAUCUUUUUUUUUAAGCUGAUUUGUUACUAAUAAUUUGAAUACGAUCGGGAAGGGGGAAUUUUAUGCAUAGGGACAAAUGCUGAUUUGUUACUAAUCAUAUAUUUUAAUCUUUAUAUGCUUGAAUCAGUCACAUGUUUUGAGUGUAGCUGUAUAAGAAACUAAACUAAAGUCUGGGGUUCAUAUAUAUAAACCCAGCAUCUCAUACUACUAUUUGCAUCUUUAUAUUGAUCAUACAUUGCUCAUCUUUAUUUUUGUGAUUACCAUCUGAAGUUCUCAAUACGCUUCCCUAACUUUUUGGAUUGGCUUGUAUCUUAGAUCAACACAAAGCAAUCACAUUUAUAGUAUCUAUUGUAUUUAUUUGUGUGGACACUUAUUAAAGGUACCUCCUCACACUUUCAUUCAUAUUGCAAAAUUUUGAAAAUCCUUGCGUGAAAUGGGUACUUGUCUGCUUUAAGAAACUGCUUUGAAUGAUGAUGAAGAAAUAGGUGAGGAGAAUAUAAUUUCUUGUUACAUAUGCAAUUCAAUGAGUAAAAUUUCACACCUUUUAUUUGUGAUCAAUAUGGAUCAUUGUAUUGAAUAAUCAUACAAAUAAGUUGAUAUAUGCAUAUGACAGUAUGUUUUGGAGGUUGAAUCAUAAUCUAAUCUUGAUAAUUAGACAAUAACGAAGUUUUUGUCACUAUAUGCAUAUGAAGGUACAUGGUUUGAACCAUUAUCUAUUUGUAUGCCAAACCUUUUGCUUGUAAUGCUGUCCAGGAGACGAAACGCCCGUGCAACUCUCAAAGCAUUAUCUAUUUGGAUUCUUGACCUUUGCAGCAAGUAGUUGAUUCUUGCAAUGUGUUAUAUGUGGUGUAACUCUCAAAGCAUUCCACAUUCGUGCUGCCACAAAAAAUCUUGAUGAUGCUAUGAUUAGUGCACUAGGUUCAAGCCUUAGCAUUAUCAUCAUGGUUCUCUUCUUGAACUACAGAUUCUCGGACUAGAUAGAUGCGUUGACACAAAGGUGGGAGAUGAAAUGUUAAGGGGGAGUCUUCGGAGGACAAAAGACGAGUCUCACAAUAGGUGAGAUAUCAACUGAUCUGGACAGCUCCACAACUUUCCAGAUUAUCAAUUAACUAAAGUAGGUGAUUUACAUCCUUGGUGCGUAAGAGACUUGUUUUUCUUUUUUGGAUGACAUGCUAUACAUGACUAACGUUACUUUCUUAUAUCAGUACUUAAAAUAUAAGUUAUGAAUUUUUGUGUACAUUGUGUGUACAAAUGUUAUCAAUUUAAUAUUAAUUUUGGGUUUACAAGUUUUGGGUUGUGCUUAUAAACAUUAUGUGCAUCUGAAUAUUACAAUUGUGGAUGCUAAUUUUUAGUUGUAUUUGUAAAAAUCAUUAGUAAAAAUUGAAUAUUUAUUGUAUUUAAGGUUGCGUCAAUGACUUUAUAACAAUGGACUUGCUGUUGCUAUAGCUAAAGCUGUACAUAUACGCCACGGAUAUAAGCCCUAUAGUGGCAGAUGGGUGGACAAAUGACUUUAUAACAAUGGACUUGCUGUUGCUAUAGCUAAAGCUGUACAUAUACGCCACGGAUAUAAGCCCUAUAGUGGCAGAUGGGUGGACAAAUAUAUAUAUAUAUAUAUAUAUAUAUUAUUAUUAUUAUUAUUAUUAUUAUUAAUUUUUGAUAUUUGGUGAUAAACACUCCCAUUUAAAGUUAAUAGUCAAGGACGUGUACUGAUGUGGAGCGCAUCCUUAAGCUCAAUAACAUCAUACUCUUACCUUACAUAGGUUUCGAUUUUUUGUUUUUUCUGAAAUGAUCGAGUAUCUUAUACAAAAGACUCAGUACCAAUGAUUAAAAAAAAAACAUAGACAAACCUU